This 450-nucleotide ribosomal RNA is filed under the name uncultured Glomeromycotina. RNAcentral's name for it is "SSU rRNA". It matches the Rfam family "Eukaryotic small subunit ribosomal RNA", at positions 569 to 1025 of the family's 1831-position model. Lineage: Eukaryota; Fungi; Glomeromycota. The record is from RNAcentral.
AGCAGCCGCGGUAAUUCCAGCUCCAAUAGCGUAUAUUAAAGUUGUUGCAGUUAAAAAGCUCGUAGUUGAAUUUCGGGAUCGAUACGUCGGUCGUGCCUUGGUACGUACUAGCGUUAUCGGUUUCUCCUUUCUAACGAACCGUGAUGUCAUUAAUUUGGUGUUACGGGGAGUUAGGACUGUUACUUUGAAAAAUUAGAGUGUUUAAAGCAGGCUAACGCUUGAAUACAUUAGCAUGGAAUGAUGAAAUAGGACGUUCGAUCCUAUUUUGUUGGUUUCUAGGAUUGACGUAAUGAUUAAUAGGGAUAGUUGGGGGCAUUAGUAUUCAAUUGUCAGAGGUGAAAUUCUUGGAUUUAUUGAAGACUAACUACUGCGAAAGCAUUUGCCAAGGAUGUUUUCAUUAAUCAAGAACGAAAGUUAGGGGAUCGAAGACGAUCAGAUACCGUCGUAGUC